UACGUAGGGUGCAAGCGUUGUCCGGAAUUAUUGGGCGUAAAGAGCUCGUAGGCGGUCUGUCGCGUCGGCUGUGAAAACCUGGGGCUCAACUCCGGGCCUGCAGCCGAUACGGGCAGACUAGAAUUCGGUAGGGGAGACUGGAAUUCCUGGUGUAGCGGUGAAAUGCGCAGAUAUCAGGAGGAACACCGGUGGCGAAGGCGGGUCUCUGGGCCGAUACUGACACUGAGAAGCGAAAGCGUGGGGAGCGAACAGG
This 253-nucleotide ribosomal RNA is filed under the name uncultured bacterium. Its description in RNAcentral is "partial 16S ribosomal RNA". It matches the Rfam family "Bacterial small subunit ribosomal RNA", at positions 524 to 776 of the family's 1533-position model. The record is from RNAcentral.